Molecule: ribosomal RNA, 529 nt
Filed under: uncultured bacterium
Lineage: Bacteria
Description: bacterial SSU rRNA
Rfam family: Bacterial small subunit ribosomal RNA
Source: RNAcentral
ACGGAAUAGAUACCCAGGUAGUCCACGCCGUAAACGUUGGGCGCUAGGUGUGGGGGCCAUUCCACGGUCUCCGUGCCGCAGCUAAACGCAUUAAGCGCCCCGCCUGGGGAGUACGGCCGCAAGGCUAAAACUCAAAGGAAUUGACGGGGGCCCGCACAAGCGGCGGAGCAUGUUGCUUAAAUUCGAUGCAACGCGAAGAACCUUACCUAGGCUUGACAUGCACGGAAAUCUCGCAGAGAUGCGGGGUCCGUAAGGGUCGUGCACAGGUGGUGCAUGGUUGUCGUCAGCUCGUGUCGUGAGAUGUUGGGUUAAGUCCCGCAACGAGCGCAACCCUCGUCCCAUGUUGCCAGCGGGUUAUGCCGGGGACUCAUGGGAGACUGCCGGGGUCAACUCGGAGGAAGGUGGGGAUGACGUCAAAUCAUCAUGCCCCUUAUGUCUAGGGCUGCAAACAUGCUACAAUGGCCGGUACAAAGGGCUGCGAUACCGCGAGGUGGAGCGAAUCCCAAAAACGCCGGUCUCAGUUCGGAUU